This 417-nucleotide ribosomal RNA is filed under the name uncultured Bifidobacterium sp. RNAcentral describes it as "bacterial SSU rRNA". It matches the Rfam family "Bacterial small subunit ribosomal RNA", at positions 213 to 638 of the family's 1533-position model. Lineage: Bacteria; Bacillati; Actinomycetota; Actinomycetes; Bifidobacteriales; Bifidobacteriaceae. The record is from RNAcentral.
UAUCGGUAUGGGAUGGGGUCGCGUCCUAUCAGCUUGAUGGCGGGGUAACGGCCCACCAUGGCUUCGACGGGUAGCCGGCCUGAGAGGGCGACCGGCCACAUUGGGACUGAGAUACGGCCCAGACUCCUACGGGAGGCAGCAGUGGGGAAUAUUGCACAAUGGGCGCAAGCCCGAUGCAGCGACGCCGCGUGCGGGAUGACGGCCUUCGGGUUGUAAACCGCUUUUGACUGGGAGCAAGCCCUUCGGGGUGAGUGUACCUUUCGAAUAAGCACCGGCUAACUACGUGCCAGCAGCCGCGGUAAUACGUAGGGUGCAAGCGUUAUCCGGAAUUAUUGGGCGUAAAGGGCUCGUAGGCGGUUCGUCGCGUCCGGUGUGAAAGUCCAUCGCUUAACGGUGGAUCCGCGCCGGGUACGGGCG